GACAUAGCUCAAUUGGAUUGGCAGAGCAACUGAUUUGUAAUCAGUAGGUUGUAGGUUCGAUUCCUAUUGUCGGC
This 74-nucleotide transfer RNA is filed under the name uncultured Bulleidia sp. It matches the Rfam family "tRNA". From Rfam's summary of the family: Transfer RNA (tRNA) molecules are approximately 80 nucleotides in length. Their secondary structure includes four short double-helical elements and three loops (D, anti-codon, and T loops). The record is from RNAcentral. Lineage: Bacteria; Bacillati; Bacillota; Erysipelotrichia; Erysipelotrichales; Erysipelotrichaceae.